AACCGGCUCGCCAUCAUUUUCUUCCGCCUUGAAAAAAAACAUAAAUUAAAGAAACAUUAGAAAUUAGAAGAAAUGCACAAUAAAUUAAAAUUCUGAAACUCAAAUAAUUGAAGAAAAAACGGUUGAACUUACCAUGCGAUCUCCCAGAGUGGCAAUAGAUUGAGCACCCAAGUUAUGCUUGUAGAUGCCCUUCCCUUUACGGUCGCUCCUGCGGUUGGUGGAGUUGGUGGAAGAAGUUUCUUUCGUCUCUUCUUUAUCCCAAUGCGCACACAACUCCUUCCAGACCGUGUCGUUCAUCGACUUUGGGA
This 308-nucleotide long non-coding RNA is filed under the name Brassica napus (rape). RNAcentral describes it as "long non-coding RNA (BNAP_LNC018748)". The record is from RNAcentral. Lineage: Eukaryota; Viridiplantae; Streptophyta; Magnoliopsida; Brassicales; Brassicaceae.